RNAcentral lists this unclassified non-coding RNA (214 nucleotides) under plant metagenome. Its description in RNAcentral is "partial contains small subunit ribosomal RNA, internal transcribed spacer 1, and 5.8S ribosomal RNA". The record is from RNAcentral.
UCUCCGUUGGUGAACCAGCGGAGGGAUCAUUACCGAGUUUACAACUCCCAAACCCCUGUGAACAUACCUGUUUUGUUGCUUCGGCGGUGCCCUCGCUCUCGCGGCGAGGCCCGCCAGAGGACCCAAACAAACUCUUUGACUUUGAUCUAGGAUUAUACUUCUGAGUGGUACAAAAAAUAAAAUCAAACUUUCAACAACGGAUCUCUUGGUUCUG